UGGAGCAGCUAAGGGGAGGCCAGAGCCACAGCUGCACCUGUCAGCUGACACAGCCAUCCCAGCCUUACUGAGGCUUACAAAGGCUUCCUAAGAGGCUGGCUCUUCAAAACAGAAGACUCUGGGAUUUAAUGUUUAGUUAUUCCUAUCAUAAAGUGUGUGCGCAGUGUCUUUGAACCCAGAAGAACAUUGGGAUCAAGCCUAUUUAUGAACCUAAACUAAGCCAACGACUAACUGCAGCCUCAGUCUCCACAUCCCGCCCUGUGUUCCAGGGAAGUCAUGGAGUGGGCAGCAGCUGUGAGGCCCUGGUAGGGCUCUGGAUGCAGCCUGAUGCCCCUCUGACUUAACUUUCUAAUCUCCGAACUCGAGCUACAGCGCCAGUGACUACUGUUUACCCCAAAGGACGGUCAUGUGAGCGCAAUGAGGAACCACACACGACACAGCCCUGGACGGAUGAUGCUUACAGAGUAAAAGCGCAGCAGACCUUUUUGGGAAGGAAAUGAACAUUUAAAAAAGAGAGAGAGAGAAAGAAAAGAAAACAAUCAAAAUGUGCGUUUAAGUGCCUGCCCUGCCCUCGACGACCAACGACCAUCUAGGAAGAAGCAACAGGACGCAGUGCAAAGCCACCUGACCUCUUGGUGCUGGGCUCCAGCAAAGAUGCCACUCUCUUAGGUUUAGAAAUCGCUGGAAUACCAAAGAGCAACGCUUCCUCUGGUGGGCAGCUGAUUCUUAUCUGUACAUGGGACAGGGCGGGGGGGCAGGGGGGGGGGAGUUGGAUCCAACCAAAUUUGCAGUCAAAAGAAAGAGGUCAAAACAUAUGAGUCCAUUCCUUAGUAUUAUUUAAUUACUAGAAUCAAAUGUAUGAAAACAUUUUAAACAGAAAACUGCCUGUGUGACUUUCAAAUGUAUAGGAGCUUUUAAAAUCUAAGGGUGAAAAAAGAUAUAACAAAAUACAUACAUGAAUA
Molecule: long non-coding RNA, 962 nt
Organism: Mus musculus (house mouse)
Lineage: Eukaryota; Metazoa; Chordata; Mammalia; Rodentia; Muridae
Product: predicted gene, 40103
Exons: 2
Source: RefSeq, a predicted model, not a curated record